Acanthosepion pharaonis is the source of this 86-nucleotide non-coding RNA. NCBI's taxonomy places the organism in Eukaryota, Metazoa, Mollusca, Cephalopoda, Sepiida, Sepiidae. The record is from the annotation of a GenBank genome assembly.
UUCACUUUAAGAUCACCGAAGUUAAGCAAAGUCGAGCCUGGGCUGUACCUAGAUGGGUAACCAAUUGGGAAUACCAGAUGCUGUAA